Corticium candelabrum is the source of this 634-nucleotide long non-coding RNA. RefSeq lists it as uncharacterized. NCBI's taxonomy places the organism in Eukaryota, Metazoa, Porifera, Homoscleromorpha, Homosclerophorida, Plakinidae. The record is from RefSeq and is a predicted model, not a curated record. The transcript has 3 exons.
ACUAUGCGAACCACUUUCUGCGCCAUAGUUAUUCGCGCGUGAGGAAGUCGCAAGCGAGCUCGCCUCCGAGCACGUUGUUCAAGAACGACGCCAGUUUCACGGUUGCGUCGACGAACCCGAGCUCAAGCAUUGGACCUGUCAGUGUGAGAUCAAAGAACUACCCUGCUCACGGUUGGUACAGAACCGGCACUUCCAUCUACAUCAUCCGCAUCUACUGGCGCAUAGUCCCCGGUCUCGACGGCCAACCCGGAUCUGUGUCUUUCCAGUCGGUCACUGACAGCAAUAGAUACAUCCGUCAUGAGAGUUUCUUGUUAUACGAACGCACUAAUGAUGGAACGAGCGCCUUCAAGAAGGCCGCCACGUUUUAUGAGCGCAAAAAUCAUUUCUACAGCGGGUAUGAUGCCUAUGAGAGCGUUGACAAUCUGAAUUGUUUUAUCCGUCAUGCUUACUCUCGCUUCCAAAUUGCCAAUAAUGAUGGGUCGACACUCUUCAAGAAAGACGCCAGUUUUAAGACAGCAGUUGCUGAAUAAAAGUGCAAGAAAAGUGCAGAUUGGCUUGAAACGAUUUGACUGACAUAAACAAGACAUUGUACAUGUAGUAAAUGUUGUUACACGUAUAGAAAAUUGUUGCUUGC